CAAAAAAAAAAAGAAAAUUUUCAAGGAACUUAAAGGGUUUAUUUGCAAAAUUUUCAGACAUGGAAAGACCAAAAAGGCAUACGAAGAAGUACAGCUUUAAACAGCCUGAUGUGAAGGAGUUAAGGAAUCUGAUGUCUUAUGUAUUAGAUCCCUUGGGUUUCAAAGCUCGUUAUGGGAAGCUUCUGCCUCUGUUGACUACUCAGGUUGACGAAGGGCUGAUGAGUACUCUGGCUCAGUUU
RNAcentral lists this long non-coding RNA (239 nucleotides) under Lathyrus oleraceus (garden pea). Its description in RNAcentral is "Pisum sativum (pea) long non-coding RNA (PSAT_LNC038421)". Lineage: Eukaryota; Viridiplantae; Streptophyta; Magnoliopsida; Fabales; Fabaceae. The record is from RNAcentral.